This 503-nucleotide ribosomal RNA is filed under the name uncultured bacterium. Its description in RNAcentral is "partial 16S ribosomal RNA". It matches the Rfam family "Bacterial small subunit ribosomal RNA", at positions 30 to 523 of the family's 1533-position model. The record is from RNAcentral.
AUUGAACGCUGGCGGCAGGCUUAACACGUGCAAGUCGAGCGGGGUGAUGGUGCUUGCACUAUCACUUAGCGGCGGACGGGUGAGUAGUGCUUAGGAAUCUGUCUAUUAGUGGGGGACAACAUCUCGAAAGGGAUGCUAAUACCGCAUACGUCCUACGGGAGAAAGCAGGGGAUCACUUGUGACCUUGCGCUAAUAGAUGAGCCUAAGUCGGAUUAGCUAGUUGGUGAGGUAAAGGCCUACCAAGGCGACGAUCUGUAGCGGGUCUGAGAGGAUGAUCCGCCACACUGGGACUGAGACACGGCCCAGACUCCUACGGGAGGCAGCAGUGGGGAAUAUUGGACAAUGGGGGGAACCCUGAUCCAGCCAUGCCGCGUGUGUGAAGAAGGCCUUAUGGUUGUAAAGCACUUUAAGCGAGGAGGAGGCUCUUUUGGUUAAUACCCAAGAUGAGUGGACGUUACUCGCAGAAUAAGCACCGGCUAACUCUGUGCCAGCAGCCGCGGUAA